AUACGGAGGGUGCAAGCGUUACUCGGAAUCACUGGGCGUAAAGCGCGCGCAGGCGGUCUUUUAAGUUGGAUGUGAAAGCCUACGGCUCAACCGUAGAACUGCAUCCAAAACUAUUAGACUAGAGUGUGAGAGAGGAAGAUGGAAUUAGUUGUGUAGGGGUAAAAUCCGUAGAGAUAACUAGGAAUACCAAAAGCGAAGGCAAUCUUCUGGAACACUACUGACGCUGAGGCGCGAAAGCGUGGGGAGCAAACAGUAUUAGAUACCCUAGUAGUCC
Molecule: ribosomal RNA, 274 nt
Filed under: uncultured bacterium
Lineage: Bacteria
Description: partial 16S ribosomal RNA
Rfam family: Bacterial small subunit ribosomal RNA
Source: RNAcentral